This 249-nucleotide non-coding RNA is filed under the name Lactobacillus iners. Its description in RNAcentral is "T-box sequence". It matches the Rfam family "T-box leader". From Rfam's summary of the family: Uncharged tRNA acts as the effector for transcription antitermination of genes in the T-box leader family. T-boxes are found upstream of many aminoacyl-tRNA synthetase genes and some amino acid biosynthetic genes usually in Gram-positive bacteria. Lineage: Bacteria; Bacillati; Bacillota; Bacilli; Lactobacillales; Lactobacillaceae. The record is from RNAcentral.
UUUUAAACAUUAUGUUAGCAGAGUAGAAGUGAUAUUUGUUCUCAGAGAGCUUACGACUGGUGAAAGUAAGUAACGAUUAGCUUCGAACAUGGGCUAAUAGAAAGUGGCAAUAACGAAUUUUUAGUUAUUGACGGGGUUGUUUUCGUUAAUCAAACAAGGUAAUUCUCAUAUUAUUGGGAGCUACUUGCUGAGAUUGAUUAUGUGAGUAAUCAGUAAAUAAAGGUGGUAACGCGAGCAUUCGUCCUUUUG